RNAcentral lists this non-coding RNA (31 nucleotides) under Rattus norvegicus (Norway rat). The record is from RNAcentral. Lineage: Eukaryota; Metazoa; Chordata; Mammalia; Rodentia; Muridae.
AGUCAAGCUACCAUAGAAGACAAGUUUGGAC